Molecule: ribosomal RNA, 793 nt
Filed under: Demonema rapax
Lineage: Eukaryota; Metazoa; Nematoda; Chromadorea; Chromadorida; Selachinematidae
Description: partial large subunit ribosomal RNA
Rfam family: Eukaryotic large subunit ribosomal RNA
Source: RNAcentral
GAGGGAAAGUUGCAAAGAACUUUGAAGAGAGAGUUCAAGAGGGCGUGAAACCGCUUGGAAGAAAACGGCUGGAGCUGAUGAAAAUCUGUUGGAUUCAAUCAACUCGAGUCUGUGUAUAUCGGGUACUUCGACCUUAAUCGGCGAAAACUGGUAUUACAAACACAUGAUUCAGUUGGUGCAUUUCCUUCAGAUGUGCGUUGAAGGCAGUGAUUUACACAGUGGAAUGUCGAGUGUUGCCGGCUGAAGCUUUGUCUUCAGUGUCCCGCACAGACGGACUACGUGUUGUAAUUACUGUUCGCUUUGCGUCCACAUCGUCUCAGUAGCGCUGGAAUGGUGGUUUGAAUAUUUCGAUGAUACUCCGCUCGCGGGUUCGUUGAAUCAAACUGUCAUAUUAGAAGGCGUUUAACACUGAGUUGACGUUGCUUCAACGUUUCAAGUCGGCCUCCCAGCCGACCCGUCUUGAAACACGGACCAAGGAGUUUAACAUCUGUGCGAAUUAUUGGGCUGGAAAACCCACGAGUGAAAUGAAAGUGAAAGUUGGCUUUAGUCAACCUAUAUGGGAUCCGUUUGUCGUUUUAAACCGAUAAAUGGCGCACCAUAGUCCCGGCUCGUCUGCAUCGUCAGUGAGUCGGAGAUAGAGCAGAGAUGUUGAGACCCGAAAGAUGGUGAACUAUGCCUGAGCAGGAUGAAGCCAGAGGAAACUCUGGUGGAAGUCCAUAGCGGUUCUGACGUGCAAAUCGAUCGUCAGACUUGGGUAUAGGGGCGAAAGACUAAUCGAACCAUCUAGUAGCUG